UCAUAUAAGAGAAGGGGUGCUUAGAGGCCUAGUAGGUUUAUAACAGUUUGUAAAGGUUAGGGAUUGCCCAUGGCAAUGAAAAGUCCUAUAUGGUGGUUUCACGAUGGUUUUAGAGAUCUUACUCACGUGGGGGCAAGAGGCCAUAUUCUGCAAGUGUGUUGCUUUAGGUGUUAAGUGUGUGAGUUAUGAUCUCCUCUUCUCCCGUUGAGGGAGAAGUAUACAUAGGGGUCUUUUGGGUCUAAGGUUUAGGAAACCCUUUGAUGUAGUAUUCGC
RNAcentral lists this long non-coding RNA (273 nucleotides) under Lathyrus oleraceus (garden pea). RNAcentral's name for it is "Pisum sativum (pea) long non-coding RNA (PSAT_LNC014061)". Lineage: Eukaryota; Viridiplantae; Streptophyta; Magnoliopsida; Fabales; Fabaceae. The record is from RNAcentral.